UUUUUUUUUAUUAUUUAAUUUGUACUUUACAAUUUAUCCAGCUGGACAUUUGGUGAAUUUUUCUAAUUUAAUUGCUAAAUAGCAAGUAGGUGGCUACCCCCAGCGGGUUACCAUUUUCGAAUUUGUCUAUUUUAUUUCCUUAUGAGGUCAGUAGGGUGUUUUCUUUUUAGUCUUCUUUGUAGAAUUUUCUUUUAUUAUUUAAUUUGUACUUUACAAUUUGUCCAGCUGGACAUUUGGUAAAUUUUUCUAAUUUAAUUGCCAAAUAACACGUGGAUGGCUACCCCCAGUGGGAUACCAUCAUCGAGUUUGACUAUUUUAUUUCCUUAUUGAGGUCAGUGGGGUGUUUUCUUCUUGGUCUUCUUUGUAGAAUUUUUUUUUUAUUUAAUUUGUACUUUACAAUUUGUACAGCUGGAUAUUUGGUAAAUUUUUCUAAUUUAAUUGCCAAAUAACACGCGGAUGGCUACUCCCAGCGGGUUACCAUCAUCGAGUUUGGCUAUUUUAUUUCCUUAUUGAG
RNAcentral lists this unclassified non-coding RNA (514 nucleotides) under Bombus terrestris (buff-tailed bumblebee). RNAcentral describes it as "misc RNA ENSBTSG00005036435.1". The record is from RNAcentral. Lineage: Eukaryota; Metazoa; Arthropoda; Insecta; Hymenoptera; Apidae.